RNAcentral lists this ribosomal RNA (253 nucleotides) under uncultured bacterium. Its description in RNAcentral is "partial 16S ribosomal RNA". It matches the Rfam family "Bacterial small subunit ribosomal RNA", at positions 524 to 776 of the family's 1533-position model. The record is from RNAcentral.
UACGUAGGGUGCGAGCGUUAAUCGGAAUUACUGGGCGUAAAGUGUGCGCAGGCGGCGUCGCAAGUCGAGUGUGAAAGCCCCGGGCUUAACUUGGGAAUUGCGCUCGAAACUACGAUGCUGGAGUGUGGCAGAGGAAGGUGGAAUUCCACGUGUAGCGGUGAAAUGCGUUGAUAUCAUCAGGAACACCAGUGGCGAAAGCGGCUUACUGGGUCUCUUCUGACGCUGAGGUACGAAAGCUAGGGGAGCGAACGGG